Molecule: ribosomal RNA, 232 nt
Filed under: uncultured bacterium
Lineage: Bacteria
Description: partial 16S ribosomal RNA
Rfam family: Bacterial small subunit ribosomal RNA
Source: RNAcentral
CGGACGGGUGAGGAAUACAUAGGAAUUUGCCUUUAGGUGGGGGAUAGCCCGGGGAAACUCGGAGUAAUACCGCAUGAUGUCGAAAGACCAAAGCCGGGGACCGCAAGGCCUGGCGCCUUUAGAGAAGCCUAUGUCCGAUUAGCUAGUUGGUGAGGUAAAGGCUUACCAAGGCGACGAUCGGUAGCUGGUCUGAGAGGAUGAUCAGCCACACUGGGACUGAGACACGGCCCAG